GGUGAACGCUGGCGGUAGGCCUAACACAUGCAAGUCGAACGGCAGCACAGUAAGAGCUUGCUCUUACGGGUGGCGAGUGGCGGACGGGUGAGGAAUACAUCGGAAUCUACUUUUUCGUGGGGGAUAACGUAGGGAAACUUACGCUAAUACCGCAUACGACCUACGGGUGAAAGCAGGGGAUCUUCGGACCUUGCGCGAUUGGAUGAGCCGAUGUCGGAUUAGCUAGUUGGCGGGGUAAAGGCCCACCAAGGCGACGAUCCGUAGCUGGUCUGAGAGGAUGAUCAGCCACACUGGAACUGAGACACGGUCCAGACUCCUACGGGAGGCAGCAGUGGGGAAUAUUGGACAAUGGGCGCAAGCCUGAUCCAGCCAUACCGCGUGGGUGAAGAAGGCCUUCGGGUUGUAAAGCCCUUUUGUUGGGAAAGAAAAGCAGCAGGUUAAUACCCCGCUGUUCUGACGGUACCCAAAGAAUAAGCACCGGCUAACUUCGU
This 491-nucleotide ribosomal RNA is filed under the name uncultured bacterium. Its description in RNAcentral is "partial 16S ribosomal RNA". It matches the Rfam family "Bacterial small subunit ribosomal RNA", at positions 28 to 506 of the family's 1533-position model. The record is from RNAcentral.